This 497-nucleotide ribosomal RNA is filed under the name uncultured bacterium. Its description in RNAcentral is "partial 16S ribosomal RNA". It matches the Rfam family "Bacterial small subunit ribosomal RNA", at positions 28 to 507 of the family's 1533-position model. The record is from RNAcentral.
GAUGAACGCUGGCGGCGUGCCUAAUACAUGCAAGUCGAGCGAACAGACGAGGAGCUUGCUCCUCUGACGUUAGCGGCGGACGGGUGAGUAACACGUGGAUAACCUACCUAUAAGACUGGGAUAACUUCGGGAAACCGGAGCUAAUACCGGAUAAUAUAUUGAACCGCAUGGUUCAAUAGUGAAAGACGGUUUUGCUGUCACUUAUAGAUGGAUCCGCGCCGCAUUAGCUAGUUGGUAAGGUAACGGCUUACCAAGGCAACGAUGCGUAGCCGACCUGAGAGGGUGGUCGGCCACCCUGGAACUGAGACACGGUCCAGACUCCUACGGGAGGCAGCAGUGGGGAAUCUUCCGCAAUGGGCGAAAGCCUGACGGAGCAACGCCGCGUGAGUGAUGAAGGUCUUCGGAUCGUAAAACUCUGUUAUUAGGGAAGAACAAAUGUGUAAGUAACUAUGCACGUCUUGACGGUACCUAAUCAGAAAGCCACGGCUAACUACGUG